CCUACGGGAGGCAGCAGUAGGGAAUCUUCCGCAAUGGACGCAAGUCUGACGGAGCAACGCCGCGUGAGCGAUGAAGGUCUUCGGAUCGUAAAGCUCUGUUGUCAGGGAAGAACACGUGUGAGAGUAACUGCUCACACCUUGACGGUACCUGACCAGAAAGCCACGGCUAACUACGUGCCAGCAGCCGCGGUAAU
Molecule: ribosomal RNA, 194 nt
Filed under: uncultured bacterium
Lineage: Bacteria
Description: partial 16S ribosomal RNA
Rfam family: Bacterial small subunit ribosomal RNA
Source: RNAcentral